UGCAAGUCGAGCGAAGAGAUGGGAGCUUGCUCCCUGAUCUUAGCGGCGGACGGGUGAGUAACACGUGGGCAACCUGCCCUGCAGACUGGGAUAACUCCGGGAAACCGGAGCUAAUACCGGGUAAUACAUCGCACCGCAUGGUGCAAUGUUGAAAGUUGGCUUUCUGACCUACCCCGGCAGGAGGGGCCCCCGGCGCAUUACCUAGUUGGUAAGGUAUGGGUUUACCAAGGCAACAAUCCUUACCCAACCUGAAAGGGGGAUCGGCCACCCGGGACCUGAAACACGGCCCAAACCCCUACGGGAGGCACCAUUAGGGAAUCUUCCCCAUGGAACAAAAGUCUGACGAACCACCGCCCCGUGAUUGACAAAGGCCUUCGGGUCGUAAAGUUCUGUGGUUAGGAAGGACCAAUUACCGUUCAAUUAGGGCGGUACCUGGACGGACCCUAACCAAAAAGCCACGGUUAAUUACUUGCCACCAGCCGCGGUAUUACUUAGGUGGCAGCCGUGGUCGGAAUAAUUGGCCGUAAAC
Molecule: ribosomal RNA, 529 nt
Filed under: Bacillus sp. BS6_30
Lineage: Bacteria; Bacillati; Bacillota; Bacilli; Caryophanales; Bacillaceae
Description: bacterial SSU rRNA
Rfam family: Bacterial small subunit ribosomal RNA
Source: RNAcentral